AGCAGCCGCGGUAAUUCCAGCUCCAAUAGCGUAUGUUAAAGUUGUUGCAGUUAAAAAGCUCGUAGUUGAACUUCCGGCCGUCCCCGUGUUCCCCGGCCCCCGCGGUCGGGCUCGGGGCGGCCGUCCGUCUGCGACCCCUUCUCGGCCUUCACUGGUCCUCGGUUGGUGGGAGCAGGCACUUUACUUUGAGAAAAU
This 195-nucleotide ribosomal RNA is filed under the name uncultured Paraglomus. Its description in RNAcentral is "partial 18S ribosomal RNA". It matches the Rfam family "Eukaryotic small subunit ribosomal RNA", at positions 569 to 766 of the family's 1831-position model. Lineage: Eukaryota; Fungi; Glomeromycota; Glomeromycetes; Paraglomerales; Paraglomeraceae. The record is from RNAcentral.